ACUCCUACGGGAGGCAGCAGUGGGAGUAUUGCAUCAAUGGGCAGGCAAGCCUGAUGCAGCCAUGCCGCGUGUGUGAAGAAGGCCUUCGGUUGUAAAGCACUUUCAGUCGUGAGGAAGGUAGUGUAGUUAAUAGCUGCAUUAUUUGACGUUAGCGACAGAAGAAGCACCGGCUAACUCCGUGCCAGCAGCCGCGGUAAUACGGAGGGUGCGAGCGUUAAUCGGAAUUACUGGGCGGUAAAGCGCAUGCAGGUGGUUUGUUAAGUCAGAUGUGAAAGCC
RNAcentral lists this ribosomal RNA (277 nucleotides) under uncultured bacterium. Its description in RNAcentral is "partial 16S ribosomal RNA". It matches the Rfam family "Bacterial small subunit ribosomal RNA", at positions 335 to 602 of the family's 1533-position model. The record is from RNAcentral.